Molecule: small nucleolar RNA, 128 nt
Organism: Camarhynchus parvulus
Lineage: Eukaryota; Metazoa; Chordata; Aves; Passeriformes; Thraupidae
Source: Ensembl
AGCACUUGAUCAGGUUUUGUCUUUUGCUGUAGACAAAAAACCUGGAACCUAGUGCUUAGAAAAAACCCUUCUUUUGCAACCCACAGCUGAUGAAUGUAUUAGUUGUGUUACUUAUAUGAAGGGACAGU